This 291-nucleotide ribosomal RNA is filed under the name uncultured Pseudomonas sp. RNAcentral describes it as "partial 16S ribosomal RNA". It matches the Rfam family "Bacterial small subunit ribosomal RNA", at positions 1093 to 1382 of the family's 1533-position model. Lineage: Bacteria; Pseudomonadati; Pseudomonadota; Gammaproteobacteria; Pseudomonadales; Pseudomonadaceae. The record is from RNAcentral.
CGAGCGCAACCCUUGUCCUUAGUUACCAGCACGGUUAUGGUGGGCACUCUAAGGAGACUGCCGGUGACAAACCGGAGGAAGGUGGGGAUGACGUCAAGUCAUCAUGGCCCUUACGGCCUGGGCUACACACGUGCUACAAUGGUCGGUACAAAGGGUUGCCAAGCCGCGAGGUGGAGCUAAUCCCAUAAAACCGAUCGUAGUCCGGAUCGCAGUCUGCAACUCGACUGCGUGAAGUCGGAAUCGCUAGUAAUCGUGAAUCAGAAUGUCACGGUGAAUACGUUCCCGGGCCUU